Molecule: ribosomal RNA, 319 nt
Filed under: uncultured eukaryote
Lineage: Eukaryota
Description: partial 18S ribosomal RNA
Rfam family: Eukaryotic small subunit ribosomal RNA
Source: RNAcentral
CCCUUAGAUGUUCUGGGCCGCACGCGUGCUACACUGAGUGGAUCAGCGGGUCAGGUUGCGCGAAAGCGUUUCCUAAUCUUUAAAUCCGCUCGUGAUGGGGAUUGACGGUUGCAAUUUUCUGUCAUGAACGAGGAAUACCUUGUAAGCGCGGGUCAUCAUCCCGCGCUGAAUACGUCCCUGCCCUUUGUACACACCGCCCGUCGCACCUACCGAUUGAAUGUUUCGGUGAAGAUUCCGGAUAGGACUUUUUUGAUUUAUUUCAAUUUUGUCUUAAAAGCUAUCUAAACCUCAACAUUUAGAGGAAGGUGAAGUCGUAACA